Molecule: long non-coding RNA, 2291 nt
Organism: Bubalus bubalis (water buffalo)
Lineage: Eukaryota; Metazoa; Chordata; Mammalia; Artiodactyla; Bovidae
Exons: 5
Source: RefSeq, a predicted model, not a curated record
CCUACUGUGUGCACAGUGUUAUGCUAAGCACACAGAAGAAAUGACGAACUUAAUUCUGUGUUCUUGGGAAGUCCAUAGUUGGACUUUGAACUUGGUUACAGGCAACAUGUCAACAAGCAUAAAAUAACAUGGUCUCAUUUGGAAUGAAGCCCCAAGGGUUGAUGGCAUUUCAAUAGGGGAGAUUAACGAUAAUACCCAUGAGCAUUUUAUAAUUUUAUGGUUUUCCCAUUGUUUUUUCAUAAGUCAUUUCAUUUGAUUCUAACAACAGCUGUGUGAGAUGGAGGGAACAGAGGUCAGGAAUCCAUUUUAUAGGCAGGGAAAUGGAGUAACUCAGCUGAAGUUACACCUUCAGUGAAGUGCUGGGUUGAGGAAGCAGGUCUUCCUUAGAAUUCUUUCAGCUUCUACUAAGAGUAGCGGAAUACUUUACAAAGGAGGAAAAUUUAGAUCAAGGUCUGAAAACAGCUCAUGGAUAUAGACUGUUGAAAGAAAUUGGAGGGAUGCACAGAAAUGUGUGUGUGCACACACACAGGUAGGAGUGAUUUUGGAAAAGGCACAGAAUUAGAAAUAGGAAGUACUGUGUAAAGGGCAUCGAAGCUCUUUAAAAGAAUGACAAUAGUUGCCAUAGGGAAAGAGAAAAUUAGCCCAGAUGCUGGUGUUCAGGUUCCCUGGCCCCAUGGCCUCAUGUUCUCACGGCAUAUUUUGUAAAUACAUGGUUAUGUAACAGCUGAGAUCACUUAUAGCAGUGCGCAUGCGUCUCAUGAUGGACCUGCUUGGCCACGGGCCACUUUUGUUCUGUAAACUUAUAUAAGUUCCACCUGGAAAGUCCCUGAGGCUGCGGUAUGGCUGCGUCCUCUGGGUCAAGCACGAGAGGAGAGCGUACAGCGUGUCUGCUGCUGCUAUGGCCGCUGUGCCAGCCUGGAGAGAAGGAACGUGUCUGCAGUUCUAGGCUCUUUGAGUUUUCUUCCAGCUUCCCUGCUCUGGCCUUUCCUGCCCUGGAUUCAGUGAACAGCGAGAUACAAGACAGUUGCUAAAUUAAAAUCAGCUGUUAUCAACCCUGGGCGUUGGUUCCCAACAAGGGUCCUUCUGCCCUGUGUUGCUUGAGCCAAUAGAAUAAGACCCAGUUUUAUGGGUCUUCUUAAUGAAGAAGCCAAGGAAAGCUUUGUUCUUUCAUCCAAGAAUGAAGAGGUGCCAGCUGCCCACUCACUCAUAGACCGCGGGUGGGGCUUGAUAGGGCCUCAUUUGCAGGGUGGGCAGGGGGUGGAGGCUGGCAGGGCCGUGCAGCUGGGGUUCCAGGCCCGCGCCGGCUGUCUGCGCACCCCGCCGCCUCGGCACACGGCCCUGCCGCCGUCUGGGAUCGGUGCCGUGGGCAGCACUUCCGCGGACGUGUGGGGCGGCCGUUUUGAACCAGGAACUCGGGCCUGAGCGGCCGGAGUGAGGCGCCUGCACGCCGCAGCCUGUGAGCCGGUGACACCAGGCGAAGCACAAGGGGAAAAAAAAGAGAGAGGUAGACAGUGGCUGCCUUUCCUGUGUCUCCAUGGCUGCACCUUGGAAGUCCUCUUCUGAUCAGAGAACUGUUCUCACACGUGCUGACAGCGUCUCACUUCAAGCACCGGCAUCUCUCUGCUGGAAGGUUUUCUCUGCACCCCUGGGAAUUCUGGAGGUGAUGCCCCCAGGUUUGGUGAUCUCCCAACAGUGAGGAUGGAAGUUGGUGGAUAAACAGCAGCUUCAUUCCCCCAGGAGGACAUCAUUGAGAAAGAGAUCUUCACGUGUACAGACUCUUGCUGGUGUGGAGGGGCAUUCCAAGUGUCACAGUGUUUCCCCGACUCAAACCAGAAGAAAGUAGAAAAGACACGAUGGUCUAUUAAUAAAGAAGAGACCUAUAAUUUAAGUAGAAGAUAGAGGUGGAAGGAAAUGAGCGUUCCUCUUCUGAAUUAGGCACAGGUUUCAGCUUGAAUGAGUCACUCUGGUGGAGGAGUAGAUGGAGCCGUUGACUGAAAUGAAAAGAUUGGAGCAGAAAAGUCCCGGGCACCGUUCCAUUGCUGACGCCUGGCUUCCUGAAAAGCAUCUGUCAGACUAUGAUCUUCGUUACCAACAUCGAGGACCACGACAGCGCAUACAAUGUAUCUAAUGUAAAGCCAUUUCCGAGGCCUGUAUCUUCAUGUAAAGUUUUCAGUUAGUUGGUAGUUUAUUAAUGGCACCGUUUACAUUUGCCCCUGGAUGUGUUGCUGUAAUUAAAAUAACUCCUGAAUUUAUCACUUGAGCCCAGAAGAAUGAAUAAAGGCAUUACAUGA